Molecule: transfer RNA, 72 nt
Filed under: Heterocephalus glaber (naked mole-rat)
Lineage: Eukaryota; Metazoa; Chordata; Mammalia; Rodentia; Bathyergidae
Rfam family: tRNA
About the family: Transfer RNA (tRNA) molecules are approximately 80 nucleotides in length.
Source: Rfam by way of RNAcentral
UGGAGUUUGACUUGGUGGUAAAGUACUUGCCUGGCAUGCAUGAGGCCCUAGGUUCAAUUCCUAGCACUGCAA